UUUGGUAACCUUAAUGACGUC
This 21-nucleotide non-coding RNA is filed under the name Arabidopsis thaliana (thale cress). Lineage: Eukaryota; Viridiplantae; Streptophyta; Magnoliopsida; Brassicales; Brassicaceae. The record is from RNAcentral.